GGUUAAGCGACUAAGCGUACACGGUGGAUGCCCUGGCAGUCAGAGGCGAUGAAGGGCGUGCUAAUCUGCGAUAAGCGCCGGUAAGGUGAUAUGAACCGUUAUAACCGGCGAUACCCGAAUGGGGAAACCCAGUGUGACUCGUCACACUAUCAUUAACUGAAUCCAUAGGUUAAUGAGGCGAACCGGGGGAACUGAAACAUCUAAGUACCCCGAGGAAAAGAAAUCAACCGAGAUUCCCCCAGUAGCGGCGAGCGAACGGGGAGGAGCCCAGAGCCUGAAUCAGCAUGUGUGUUAGUGGAAGCGUCUGGAAAGGCGCGCGAUACAGGGUGACAGCCCCGUACACAAAAGCGCAUGUGCUGUGAGCUCGAUGAGUAGGGCGGGACACGUGGUAUCCUGUCUGAAUAUGGGGGGACCAUCCUCCAAGGCUAAAUACUCCUGACUGACCGAUAGUGAACCAGUACCGUGAGGGAAAGGCGAAAAGAACCCCGGCGAGGGGAGUGAAAAAGAACCUGAAACCGUGUACGUACAAGCAGUGGGAGCCCCACCACCAAAGCAUUCUCUGGUGUUGAAGGCCCUGCAAAGCAGCAUCGCGGUGGCGGAGCGUCGUUUGCGACGCCCAACACACAAAACAAGCGGUGAGUGCUUUGGGGUGGGGUGACUGCGUACCUUUUGUAUAAUGGGUCAGCGACUUAUAUUCUGUAGCAAGGUUAACCGAAUAGGGGAGCCGGAGGGAAACCGAGUCUUAAUUGGGCGUUAAGUUGCAGGGUAUAGACCCGAAACCCGGUGAUCUAGCCAUGGGCAGGUUGAAGGUUGGGUAACGACUAACUGGAGGACCGAACCGACUAAUGUUGAAAAAUUAAGCGGAUGACCUGUGGCUGGGGGUGAAAGGCCAAUCAAACCGGGAGAUAGCUGGUUCUCCCGAAAGCUAUUUAGGUAGCGCCUCGUGAA
This 948-nucleotide ribosomal RNA is filed under the name Salmonella enterica subsp. enterica serovar Agona str. 0322. Its description in RNAcentral is "bacterial LSU rRNA". It matches the Rfam family "Bacterial large subunit ribosomal RNA", at positions 1 to 888 of the family's 2925-position model. Lineage: Bacteria; Pseudomonadati; Pseudomonadota; Gammaproteobacteria; Enterobacterales; Enterobacteriaceae. The record is from RNAcentral.